This 396-nucleotide ribosomal RNA is filed under the name uncultured bacterium. RNAcentral's name for it is "partial 16S ribosomal RNA". It matches the Rfam family "Bacterial small subunit ribosomal RNA", at positions 523 to 918 of the family's 1533-position model. The record is from RNAcentral.
AUACGUAGGGGGCGAGCGUUAUCCGGAAUUAUUGGGCGUAAAGAGUACGUAGGUGGUUUCCUAAGCGAGGGGUUUAAGGCACUGGCUUAACCAAUGUUCGCCCCCCGAACUGGGGAACUUGAGUGCUGGAGAGGAAAGCGGAAUUCCUAGUGUAGCGGUGAAAUGCGUAGAUAUUAGGAGGAACACCAGUGGCGAAGGCGGCUUUCUGGACAGUAACUGACACUGAGGUACGAAAGUGUGGGGAGCAAACAGGAUUAGAUUCCCUGGUAGUCCACACCGUAAACGAUGAAUACUAGGUGUAGGGGGUAUCGACUCCCUCUGUGCCGCAGUUAACACAAUAAGUAUUCCGCCUGGGGAGUACGGCCGCAAGGUUGAAACUCAAAUGAAUUGACGGGG